ACAUGUUCUUGAGCCGCACAGAUAAUCUGCCUGACCACUUCAAGAGAAGCCAGUUGAAUGGAAGGUGAUUCUCGAGUCAAAAUUACUCGAUGUAGUACAUUCAACAACUCAAUACCCAAGUCCUGUGACAGAAAACAGGAAGCUGAGAGGCAAAUUCUGAAGGCAAAGUUAGGAGAGCAAAAUCCUGAAGUGCAGCUAGCCACAGCCUACUCAAUGUACCGAGGUCUGCGUGGACUAAGUCAAGUAGCCCGUCUGGUGAAAUCGACCCGUUUCCAACGCUCUCUUCUGAACAGGCAGGAGGAGUCUUCAAAGACCAUUCAGGGCUGGAUAUUGAAUGCCUGACAACACCAUCAAGAAAAGCAACUAUUUAAAACAGUAUACUAUAUGGCUCUUAGAUAUCUGAAAAGAUGCUCAACCUCACUUGGCACACAAAUCUAAACUAUCCCGAGAUACCCUUUUUACUCCAUCACAAAAAUCUAAGUUUGACAACCGACACAGCCGCUGAGAAAACAGGCACGUGCAUACAGUGCUGGCAGGGGUUUGAGGUGGUUAACUCUUGUAAUUACUCUUUAACCCGACAAUUCAGUUUGGGGGAAUUUAGCUCCAAUACAUGCUUGGACCCAGCAAAUUGACCCACAGAGAAGGAGGGUCAUUAACUGCAGCACUAUUUCUAAGAGCAAAAGACAAAAAAGAGCCCCUGUAUUUCCAUCACCAGAGAACUGGUGACGUACCCAGAUACUGGACUACCAUGCAGUUACAAGAAAGAGAAAGGUCUGUAUAUUUAAAGGGUGAAGAAAAGGGGCAGCUGAGAUUAAUGGGUGAGUGGACAACUGUAACACAGAACCUUGGUAUUAAAUACUAUCUGGAGAGCUGCUUCCUAAAGGAGGGUUUACUAUUUACCUGACAUGCUUUGGCAGUGACGUCAGGUGGUGUCUCUGAGGUGAAGGCUGGUCUAAGUGCCGCUCCUACCUGGCAAGAAACGAUAUGUUCAUUCAAGCAUCAAUAAGUAAGAUAGCACAAACUCUUUUCUCUUUUUAAUGUUAUCUUAAAAUUAUCUCUUUAUAAUAGGUAUUAUAAACACUUUUUGGUUUUGCCUGCCCAGGAUGUCUUUCCCAGUUUUUGGUUAAGAGCAUCUCAAUUCUCCUUUGGGGAACUUUCUUUCUCACCAACUCUUAGCCUAUGUGGUUGCUAUGGAGCUAACAGCACUGUCUGGCUCCAGGGACCCGCACUGGUAUAAUGAAAGCUCUCCUGUAGAUGUUUGCUGGAAGUACUCAGAAAGAAGCGCUGUCUUUAAAAAGACUCUAGAUGCUGAGAGCGCCAUUUUGAUACCACUUGGAGAGGGCAAAUUUGAAAAAGAGCCAGUGCAGGAGAAAGCAGAGCCAACUAAGAUUCCCCAAAACAAUCUUCCUUUUCUGCUUAAUUGUAUGUAACUCCCAUCCCUUCCUUUUCUCUUUCCCUAAACAUACACUGACAUUACCUGUUGGGAAGAUGUGAUGGAGCCUGCUACCAACUGGCGAACUGCUCUGGAUUCCCUAAUUGCCAGUCAACAGAAGCUGCCUCUGCAUCAUGAGAGGUAUCCUUGCAUGACUGCCGAAGGACUACAUGUGGUCCUGUGCUAAAGCAACGUCAAAAUGUGCGCUGUGUGCAUUUUCACACUGGGUGAUUAUCCUACAGACGCAUUCAGCAGCGAAGACUCUUGUAGCCCAUCGGGGAUUGGUGAAAGGGAAAUUUACGUGAGGACUGCACAUUCUAUGAAACUACUAAAUGUUGAUUUUACUAGGUUUGGGGUAACAUGUGGUCAAGUAGGAGCAUGUCCUUCUUGAAAGAUGCAAGGUCUUUUCAAAUGAGUCAGCUCUUGGCAUCAGGUGGCCAAAAUACUGGAGUUUCAGCUUCAACAUCAGUCCUUCCAAUGAACACCCAGGACUGAUUUCCUUUACGAUGGACUGGUUGGAUCUCCUUGCAGUCCAAGGGACUCUGAAGAGUCUUCUCCAACACCACAGUUCAAAAGCAUCAAUUCUUCUGUGCUCAGCUUUCUUCAUAGUCCAACUCUCACAUCCAUACAUGACUAGUGGAAAAACCAUCGCCUUGAUUAGACCGGACCUUUGUUGACAAAAUAACGUCUCUGUUUUUUAAUAUGCUAUCUAAGUUGGUCAUAACUUUCCUUCCAAGGAGUAAGUGUCUUUUAAUAUUAUGGCUACAGCACCAUCUGCAGUGAUUUUGGAGCCCCCAAAAAAUAAAGUCAGCCACUGUUUCCCCAUCUGUUUGCCAUGAAGUGAUGGGACCAGAUGCCAUGAUCUUCGUUUUCUGAAUGUUGAGCUUUAAGCCAACUUUUUUACUCUCCUCUUUCACUCUCAUCGAGAGGCUGUUUAGUUCUUCUUCACUUUCUGCCAUAAGGGUGGUGUCAUCUGCAUAUCUGAGGUUAUUGAUAUUUCUCCUGGCAAUCUUGAUUCCAGCUUGUGCUUCCUCCAGCCCAGCGUUUCUCAUGAUGUACUCUGCAUAUAAUUUAAAUAAGCAGGGUGACAAUAUACAACCUUGAUGUACUCCUUUUCCUAUUUGGAACCAGUCUGUUGUUCCAUGUCCAGUUCUAACUGUUGCUUCCUGACCUGCAUACAGGUUUCUCAGGAGGUAGGUCUGCACCUGCCUGUACCACCUGGUCUGGUAUUCCCAUCUCUUGAAGAAUUUUCCACAGUUUAUUGUGAUCCACACAGUCAAAGGCUUUGGCAUAGUCAAUAAAGCAGCAGUAGAUGUUUUUCUGGAACUCUCUUGCUUUUUCGAUGAUCCAGUGGAUGUUGGCAGUUUGAUCUCUGGUUCCUCUGCCUUUUCUAAAACCAGCUUGAACAUCUGGAAGUUCACAGUUCAAGCACUGUUGAAGCCUGGCUUGGAGAAUUUUGAGCAUUACUUUGCUAGCAUGUGAGAUGAGUACAAUUGUGCAGUAGUUUAAACAUUCUUUGGCAUUGCCUUUCUUUGGGAUUGGAAUGAAAACUGACCUUUUCCAGUCCUGUGGCCACUGCUGAUUUUCCAAAUUUGCUGACAUAUUGAGUGUAGCACUUUCACAGCAUCAUCUUUUAGGAUUUGAAAUAGCUCAACUGGAAUUCCAUCACCUCCACUAGCUUUGUUCAUAGUGAUACUUCCUAAGGCCCACUGGACUUCACGUUCCAGGAUGUCUGGCUCUAGGUGAGUGAUCACACCAUCGUGAUUAUCUGGGUCAUGAAGAUCUUUUUUGUAUAGUUCUUCUGUGUAUUCUUGCCAUCUCUUCUUAAUAUCUUCUGCUUCUGUUAGGUCCAUACCAUUUCUGUCCUUUAUUGAGCACUUUGGAAACUAUAUAUUUUAAAAGUGUAAGACAUUAUCAUUUCUAUUUUUAUACUCUGAAUUUAUAUGCAUGUUUGUGUUAGUUAUAUGAUUUUCAAAUGAAGAGAUACACUUAAAACCUUACUGGUCAAGAAAUCCUUUAAUUCAGCUCUACAACAUAGAAGGGACAAAGAAAUCCUUUAAUUUGAAGCAGAUUCAUCUAUGAGAAAUUUUAUUACAUUAGAUUUGAGGGGAAGAAAGGCACAUAUGAUAAAUGACUUCAGGCCUAAAUGCAAUUUCAAUCCAUUGUAAAAAAACUCGUUCAAAACCAAUAGCUCUCAAACGUCAGUACAUAUUACCAUUACUGGAGAAAAAUAAAUAACAGAUCACUGGGCUUUACUCCCCCAUUUCUGGCUUAGACUUGGGAUGGGGCCCAAGAACUUGCAUUUCUAACAAAUUCCCAGCAGAGCUGGAUGUUGCUGCUGUGGGAAGCCUGUUUGAAAACCACUGCUUUAAACCAGUAAAAUCACUGGUUGGAAUGAUAAUAACUGUUUAGCAACCAUCACUGGUAGCAGGUUUAAGACAUUAUAUACUAACUUUUAAAUUUCCCUUUAAAAACUCACGUUUAUACAGAAGCUUUAGGAUUAAAAUAAUCAUCUGAGCUGGAGAUAAUAUUGAUAAAGAGAAUUACCCAGAGUCAGUUCC
Long non-coding RNA from Dama dama (fallow deer), 3993 nucleotides. RefSeq lists it as uncharacterized. Lineage: Eukaryota; Metazoa; Chordata; Mammalia; Artiodactyla; Cervidae. The transcript has 7 exons. The record is from RefSeq and is a predicted model, not a curated record.